RNAcentral lists this ribosomal RNA (495 nucleotides) under uncultured bacterium. Its description in RNAcentral is "partial 16S ribosomal RNA". It matches the Rfam family "Bacterial small subunit ribosomal RNA", at positions 28 to 507 of the family's 1533-position model. The record is from RNAcentral.
GACGAACGCUGGCGGCGUUCCUAAUACAUGCAAGUAGAACGCUGAAGGAGGAGCUUGCUCUUCUGGAUGAGUUGCGAACGGGUGAGUAACGCGUAGGUAACCUGCCUGGUAGCGGGGGAUAACUAUUGGAAACGAUAGCUAAUACCGCAUAAGAGUAGAUGUUGCAUGACAUUUACUUAAAAGGUGCAAUUGCAUCACUACCAGAUGGACCUGCGUUGUAUUAGCUAGUUGGUGGGGUAACGGCUUACCAAGGCGACGAUACAUAGCCGACCUGAGAGGGUGAUCGGCCACACUGGGACUGAGACACGGCCCAGACUCCUACGGGAGGCAGCAGUAGGGAAUCUUCGGCAAUGGACGGAAGUCUGACCGAGCAACGCCGCGUGAGUGAAGAAGGUUGUCGGAUCGUAAAGCUCUGUUGUAAGAGAAGAACGAGUGUGAGAGUGGAAAGUUCACACUGUGACGGUAUCUUACCAGAAAGGGACGGCUAACUACGUG